AGCAAUAAAAACUCUGCGUGAUACGUUUUUCUCUCUGGGUGGAAAUGGGGGUAGCUGAAAGACCCAGAUGAAGAAGUGGAUGAAUACUGCAUAUCUGAAGAAAUAAGCCUGCCAGGGGUAUCAGCAGGUUAAUAAAAAUAACAGCUCUGUUAAAAAUAGGGACAAGGGACCUCCUAUGGACAGCAUCAGACCUGGGAUUGGGGAGGAGCAGAUCUAUACAAAUAUACUAAUGUCCUCUGCUUUUCCCUGUCUGUGUGACUUUGCCCCGGGGGCAGUGUUGCUGAACAAGAGGAGUCGGUGGCUGGCUCCUCCGAGAAGGACUUCUCUUGGGAGGUGUCCAACAGCGAGUCUGUACCAGGGUCUUCGUUCUCCUUUGCCAUCUCUUUUGACUCUGCCUGGUGAGCCUUGUCACAGGGAGCAGAUGGAGGCUCGACCCCGUCCUGGCUCAGCUGGGUGUCCUGCUCCUGUGCCAGCCUGCAGCUCUCUAAGCCAUUCCCUGGGCGUUCGUUGUCCUGCUCCUCUGAGACAGACCCAUUGA
Molecule: long non-coding RNA, 538 nt
Filed under: Anas platyrhynchos platyrhynchos (common mallard)
Lineage: Eukaryota; Metazoa; Chordata; Aves; Anseriformes; Anatidae
Description: lncRNA (ENSAPLG00000019663.1)
Source: RNAcentral